UAAAAGGUACCCCGGGGAUAACAGGCUCAUCUUCCCCAAGAGUCCAUAUCGACGGGAAGGUUUGGCACCUCGAUGUCGGCUCAUCGCAUCCUGGGGCUGAAGCAGGUCCCAAGGGUUGGGCUGUUCGCCCAUUAAAGCGGUACGCGAGCUGGGUUUAGAACGUCGUGAGACAGUUCGGUCCCUAUCCUCUGUAGCCGUAGGAGAAUUGAUGAAGGCUGUCCCUAGUACGAGAGGACCGGGAUGGACGCAGCUCUCGUGUGCCAGUUGUUCCGCCAGGAGCAUGGCUGGUUAGCGACCUGCGGAAGGGAUAACCGCUGAAAGCAUCUAAGCGGGAAGCCUGUUCAAAGAUGAUUUCUCCCACCGGGAUAACCGGGUAAGGCCUGUGGCAGACCACCACGUUGAUAGGCCGGAUGUGUAAGCACAGCAAUGUGUUCAGCAGACCGGUACUAAUCGGCCGAGGGCUUGGAAUU
This 470-nucleotide ribosomal RNA is filed under the name Acidimicrobiaceae bacterium AH-315-P05. RNAcentral describes it as "partial 23S ribosomal RNA". It matches the Rfam family "Bacterial large subunit ribosomal RNA", at positions 2457 to 2925 of the family's 2925-position model. Lineage: Bacteria; Bacillati; Actinomycetota; Acidimicrobiia; Acidimicrobiales; Acidimicrobiaceae. The record is from RNAcentral.